RNAcentral lists this ribosomal RNA (427 nucleotides) under uncultured bacterium. RNAcentral describes it as "partial 16S ribosomal RNA". It matches the Rfam family "Bacterial small subunit ribosomal RNA", at positions 355 to 774 of the family's 1533-position model. The record is from RNAcentral.
UGGGGAAUAUUGGACAAUGGGCGAAAGCCUGAUCCAGCCAUGCCGCGUGUGUGAAGAAGGUCUUCGGAUUGUAAAGCACUUUAAGUUGGGAGGAAGGGCAGUAAGUUAAUACCUUGCUGUUUUGACGUUACCGACAGAAUAAGCACCGGCUAACUCUGUGCCAGCAGCCGCGGUAAUACAGAGGGUGCAAGCGUUAAUCGGAAUUACUGGGCGUAAAGCGCGCGUAGGUGGUUCGUUAAGUUGGAUGUGAAAGUCCCGGGCUCAACCUGGGAACUGCAUCCAAAACUGGCGAGCUAGAGUAUGGUAGAGGGUGGUGGAAUUUCCUGUGUAGCGGUGAAAUGCGUAGAUAUAGGAAGGAACACCAGUGGCGAAGGCGACCACCUGGACUGAUACUGACACUGAGGUGCGAAAGCGUGGGGAGCAAACA